Molecule: long non-coding RNA, 875 nt
Filed under: Olea europaea (common olive)
Lineage: Eukaryota; Viridiplantae; Streptophyta; Magnoliopsida; Lamiales; Oleaceae
Description: long non-coding RNA (OEUR_LNC009837)
Source: RNAcentral
UAUUUUCUAAUCGGACAUGUUGAUCCAACACGAUUUGUGUUUAAUAACUAUAUAUAUAUGAUUGAUCUCUCAAACUUAUACUAAGUAUUUAGGUGACGUUGUACACUAAAGUGGUUGGUGGAAGAUAAUGGUUGAUUACAAAACUAAUUACACCAUCUAUUGUAGUGUGUAACAUCACCUAGUGCUUAGCAUAAUUUAAGUAUGUAUCUAUAUAUGUGUGCGCGCGUGAGGGAGAGAAUGAACACAAAAACGUAUUCAAAGUUUAAUAUUGCUCAGAUCCAUUGUUUCAACUUAACAAAGAAAAAUGCAUACAAGCAUGCACCUUAUAUAUUAAUAAUUAAUUGAUCCUCCGGAGAAGGUGGCAGCGUUUCUCUUUCCGGGGAUCACUUUUCCUGUCUCUGCCGCCUAUUUCCGUCAUCUCCAACAUUUCCGUCAUUGAAAAUCAGCGGCAAAUUAUUGGCUUCGUAGCCAUAUUCAUCUUCAUGAGUUGAAAUACGGAUACAAGAACAGCGUUCCAAGGAAGCAAAAAAUGCAGAGGUGAAGCCAUUGAUGAGCCACAUAGCCACCCCAUCGAGUUUUGUUGUGCACCCUUGGGAGCCAUGGUCCGACGAGGACCGGACCCUCGGCCCCAUGGAACUCCCUCUCGAAUUGAAGUUGCAGAAUGUUGUGGAGGUGGUUGCUGCCAUGAAUUGAAGAUGGAGAUCUAAGUGAGUGUUAAUUAGUGUGGUGAGAGAGGAGGAUCCGUGGGAUGGGUGAUUUAUGGUGUUUGAUAGCUUUAAGAAAAGUAGGACUAUUUGUGUUAAUAAUGAUUAAUUAUAGCAGUCAAAAGAUAUUACACAUGCAUGUAGUAUAUACUGAUCUCCAGAAUUACCAAG